RNAcentral lists this ribosomal RNA (468 nucleotides) under uncultured bacterium. RNAcentral describes it as "partial 16S ribosomal RNA". It matches the Rfam family "Bacterial small subunit ribosomal RNA", at positions 28 to 507 of the family's 1533-position model. The record is from RNAcentral.
GACGAACGCUGGCGGCGUGCUUAACACAUGCAAGUCGAACGGAAAGGCCCUGCUUUUGUGGGGUGCUCGAGUGGCGAACGGGUGAGUAACACGUGUGUGAACUGCCCUUGACUUUGGGAUAACUUCAGGGAACUGGGGCUAAUACCGCAUAUGAGCUCCUGCUGCGUGGUGGGGGUUGGAAAGUUUCGGCGGUUGGUGAUGGACUCGCGGCGUAUCAGCUUGUUAGUGGGGUAUUGUCUGACCAAGGCUUUGACGGGUAGCCGGCAUGAGAGGGUGACCGGCGACAUAGCGACUGAGAUAGGGACCAGAAGCGUAUGGGAGGCAGCAGUCGGGAAUCUGGCGCAACGGGCGGACGUCAGAGAAAGCAACGCCGGGUGCGGGAUGCCGGCUUGUGAGUGAUAAACCGGUGCCGCAGGAGACGAAGCGUGCGUGACGGUAAUGGGUAAAGAAGCACCGGCUAACUACGUG